RNAcentral lists this unclassified non-coding RNA (238 nucleotides) under fungal sp. RNAcentral's name for it is "partial internal transcribed spacer region". The stretch from base 1 to 46 matches the Rfam family "Eukaryotic small subunit ribosomal RNA", at positions 1786 to 1831 of the family's 1831-position model. The record is from RNAcentral. Lineage: Eukaryota; Fungi.
AAGUCGUAACAAGGUUUCCGUAGGUGAACCUGCGGAAGGAUCAUUAUUGAUUCCAAAAGAGAAGAGGAGCUUUGCAAAAAGCUCGUCUUUCUUUUCUGUGAACUGGAGUGUUCUGCUUGCUUCUCAUUUAUUUGGGAAAAGAGCAGAGCGCUUGCAUUCUUUUCUUGUCAUUUUUUUUCUUGCCUUUAAGGUAAAAAAAAAUCAAAGACAACUUUCAGCAAUGGAUCUCUUGGCUCUU